CUACGGGAGGCAGCAGUGAGGAAUAUUGCACAGUGGGGGGAACCCUGAUGCAGCAACGCCGCGUGGAGGAUGACGCAUUUCGGUGUGUAAACUCCUUUUAUAUGUCAAGAAAAUGACGGUAGCAUAUGAAUAAGCACCGGCUAACUCCGUGCCAGCAGCCGCGGUAAUACGGAGGGUGCAAGCGGUACUCGGAAUCACUGGGCGUAAAGGACGCGUAGGCGGGUUGGAAAGUCAGGUGUGAAAUCCUACAGCUUAACUGUAGAACUGCACUUGAAACUUCUAAUCUAGAGUAUGGGAGGGGGAGAUGGAAUUAGGGGUGUAGGGGUAAAAUCCGUAGAUAUCACUAGGAAUACCUAAAGCGAAGGCGAUCUCCUGGAACAUUACUGACGCUAAGGCGUGAAAGCGUGGGGAGCAAACAGGAUUAGAUACCCCAGUAGUC
Molecule: ribosomal RNA, 439 nt
Filed under: uncultured bacterium
Lineage: Bacteria
Description: partial 16S ribosomal RNA
Rfam family: Bacterial small subunit ribosomal RNA
Source: RNAcentral